UACAGAGGGCAGGUGGAGUAGCUCUGCGCCAGGAGGAUCUGAUCCCUUCCCUCUUAAGCACCUCUGUCUGGAAAGGAAAUACCUGGUCGUCAGGUCCAGGAGCAGCUAAACACCUUGUUCGUUGUCAUACCGUGAGGUGGAAGCCUCACUUGACAGUAACACUGAAAUCUCCCCUGACCUAGUUUCUGUUCUCGGCAGCACAGGAUUGCAAAAAAAAUGAGUCCUUGCCCAUUCUCAGCUGGAUCUGGUGAGGCUGGAACUACUGGAAACUUUUUCAAGCAAAUUAAGGUAGGAAAAGCUUAUUGCUGGAACUUACUGUUUUUUUCAGAAGUUUUUUAUUCCAGGACUGUGCAUAGACUUUGUCCUGCUCUGAUCCCAAAAGA
Molecule: long non-coding RNA, 383 nt
Organism: Lepidothrix coronata (blue-crowned manakin)
Lineage: Eukaryota; Metazoa; Chordata; Aves; Passeriformes; Pipridae
Exons: 3
Source: RefSeq, a predicted model, not a curated record